AUUGAACGCUGGCGGCAUGCCUUACACAUGCAAGUCGAACGGCAGCACGGGGCAACCUGGUGGCGAGUGGCGAACGGGUGAGUAAUGCAUCGGAACGUACCUUUCAGUGGGGGAUAACGUAGCGAAAGUUACGCUAAUACCGCAUAUUCUGUGAGCAGGAAAGCAGGGGAUCGCAAGACCUUGCGCUGAUUGAGCGGCCGAUGUCAGAUUAGCUAGUUGGUGAGGUAAAGGCUCACCAAGGCGACGAUCUGUAGCGGGUCUGAGAGGAUGAUCCGCCACGCUGGAACUGACACACGGUCCAGACUCCUACGGGAGGCAGCAGUGGGGAAUUUUGGAAAAUGGGGGCAACCCUGAUCCAGCCAUGCCGCGUGAGUGAAGAAGGCCUUCGGGUUGUAAAGCUCUUUCGGCCGGGAAGAAAUCGCACGGGCUAAUACCCUGUGUGGAUGACGGUACCGGAAUAAGAAGCACCGGCUAACUACGUGCCAGCAGCCGCCGUAA
RNAcentral lists this ribosomal RNA (498 nucleotides) under uncultured bacterium. RNAcentral's name for it is "partial 16S ribosomal RNA". It matches the Rfam family "Bacterial small subunit ribosomal RNA", at positions 30 to 523 of the family's 1533-position model. The record is from RNAcentral.